Molecule: ribosomal RNA, 403 nt
Filed under: uncultured bacterium
Lineage: Bacteria
Description: partial 16S ribosomal RNA
Rfam family: Bacterial small subunit ribosomal RNA
Source: RNAcentral
GACGAACGCUGGCGGCGUGCCUAAUACAUGCAAGUCGAACGCAGUGGGGACGGGUGAGUAACACGUGGGUAACCUCCCAUCAGAGGGGAUAACACUUGGAAACAGGUGCUAAACCGAUACUGAUGGAUGGACCCGCGGUGCAUUAGCUAGUUGGUGAGGUAACGGCUCACCAAGGCCACGAUGCAUAGCCGAACGUAGCGGGUGGUCCGCCACACCGGGUAUGAGACCAGGCCCAGACCCCUACGGGGGGAAGCAGUGGGGGAUAUUGCACAAUGGGUGCAAGUCUGCAUGCACCAUGCCGGGUGGUUGAAGAAGGCCUUAGGGUUGUAAAGGACUUUCAGCGGGGAGGCGGUACCCGCAGAAGAAGCACCGGCUAACUCCGUGCCAGCAGCCGCGGUAAUAC